CUACGUGAGUGACCUUUCGCACCUAAAUUACUGUCAACAUUGUCUUCAUAUCAAAUUUACCUAUGGACACCACCGUCGCUCCCAUAGUUAAAGCCCUCACGAAAUAACAUAAACCAUAAACAUGAAAAUAAGGCAAAAGGAAGUUGCAGCUGCCAUCCAGGUCGUGUAAACCUCAUGACUUACAGCCACUAUACAUGUGAAAUUUCGAUGAGUCAAAACCACUCCAUCAACUCGACCAGUAGUCCGUGAGGAUAGAGAAUCAUCGCAGGGUCCAAUCGGUAAACCUUCCCUCGAGUACGAUUGUUUUGAGAUUAGGAAUUAUACGAGCAGCAUUCGACGUUACGAACACAAUUACAGGUAUUGACAGCAGAAUUUGGUGGAGAAUCUCAUGUUUAAAGAUAAUUGAUUCUUAAGGAGACCUAACGACACCGAGAGAGAAGAUACAGAAAUAAAGAAUCGAAAGGUGAAUAGAGUUAGGAGAAAGAACAAAGGCAAUAUCUACUUUUCUGAAGCCAAAAUGGUGGUAAAGCGAGAAGUCUAAUUUUUUGUGCGAAGGACGAAGUUGGGAAAUAAAAUUCGACAGAGAGUGACGGCAUCGAAGAGAGCGUUUUAUGUUUUUCUACACCAAUUAAGAAUUUUAACUUAACUAACCAAGGAUUAAUAUCUCACCUUGGUUAUCCAAGGUGUAGCGUAGAGUCCACCUUCAAGUAAUAAAAAAAUACAAUAUCGCCUGCCACCGAUAGAUGCUCCCCAACUUUCAAUUCAAAUUUGGAAAGAAUCGCCAAAUAUUUUUAAAUCUUAAUUCAUUGUGCCAAGAAAUAAAAUUUUGGAUUUUUUAUGCCAUUAUCCUUUUUUCUUCAAGCAACAAUUUAAUUUAGUCGCUAGUGAAUGAGGAUUUGGGGUAGCUGCGACACUUCGUCUAUGCCUUAUAACUUCUAAUGCCAACUUACGUUUUAUAUCUAGACUGUGACACUGCCUUUCAAGUGUUGUUUUAUAUCAUAAAUUACACCUAUUGGCAUGCCAAUUGCCGUUUUUUUUACAAGCUUUCCAAGUUAUUCAUUUUAGGUACUUCAUUAUGCUCCUACUCUAUGCUAUAGUCAAGUUUUGGCAAUAUUAAGGGUCUAAUUCACUCAUGGUCUCUUUAUGAAAAUUGCUCUCCUAUAUCUUAGCUAAUUCAGUGAUUUCUUUUGUGGCUUUACUUUUAUUAAUAAUCUUAUAAAUAUUAUUAUUUGCAUGCUAAUUAUUUUACUCAUACUAAACUUAUUAAAUUUUCAUUAAGUAAUUUUUUCGACGUUAAAGUCUAUUAAUAUGGCUUGAAUAUACAUCGCUGGUAUUUGCUAAUUAAAGUCUGAACAUUUAUUAUCUUUGGACCGCACCCGAAGGCUGCCUACGUACCUCCAAUAUAGGAUCAAGUCUACGUAGCUCUUAACAAUAGAUAAUAACAUAAAGUUUAUACUAACAUAAUUUAUUCUAGCUAAUAAUCAACCACAUUAUCACAUUAUAUCUAGAAUCCAGUAAAUAACUAAGGAAACAUAAAUAAUUAUAUUUUCAUAGCUAUAUUUUGCACAAUAUUAUUAAGAAACUAGAUAUCAAUAUUCAAAACAUGUAUAUAUAUAUAUAUAUAUAUAUACACACAAAUUUAUAUAUAAACAAAUAUCAAUAUAACUCAAUAAUAAUUACUUAUACCGAUUAAAGAGUUUAAAAUCUAAAUAUAUCACCAAUAUAGAUAACAAAUAAACUUUUAAUAAACAAUAACUAUCUAAACUAACCCCUUAAUCAUACCUACCAUCUUAUAACUAUCACUUAUUUUAUGUGUGUAUUCUUGUUGUAUCUUCAAUCCACUUUUACAUAAUGUUUAGCUAAUUAAUCUUUCUUUAAAACCCUUCGAUUUUGUAUUAUGAUAAUUCAAAUUUAUUUCCCUAAAAGGUUAUGACUAUGUUUCGAUAUCAAACAAUCGUUACACUAAAAAGUGAACAAGAAGAUUGGUCAUUGACAUGUUCUAGCCUAUUUCAGCUACUCAUGGCUCUCCUUUUUUUUCAUUUCUCUUGUAUUAUAAUAUAUAUAAAAUGCCUCCUAUUAAUUACAAACAACACAAAAAAUAAAUAUGUUUUUCGAGUAUAUUGUCGCUAUCAUAGAAUUUUUCUAUACCUUACUGCUGAUAUCUCUAGUAUUUUAUUUUAAAAGGAUAUAAACUUUUAUUAGAAGUCACUUCAUAGCAAUUCGAAAUUUGUCAAGAUACAACUGCAUCAAAUAUACGGCAUCUACCAUAUCCUAGCAGAUUCUUAAAAGUGAUGCACAAACUUUCCAAUCAAUGCUCCAAUGUACAUAAUGUAAUCUGCAGCUUACAAUACACACAUUUGCAGCAUUAAAUAGAUUAUUGCGAUCACGACUUUAGACUAUCACCCCAAUCUUCUAAUACAUGUUGAAUGUCAAAUAACAUUCUUAGCCAACUUACAAAAACCUAUAGUAGAGUUAUAUCCUGACCUUUACUUAUAACGUAUAAACAUUUGCUUAUACUUGUUCCUUCUCCUUAAUACCUAGAACGGCCUAAACGUUAGCUCUAAUACCAGUAACUGCAACACCCCUAUAAGGUUAUUUAACUAACCGAAAUGGAGAUGUCAGGUUCGGUGGUGCUUCUCUUAUUUUUUCAAUCAACUAUUAUCAUGUAUUUCAUGACAUUUUCUCCUACUGAAAAUACUCUAGAGUCUCCUUUCUAAACUGGUUCUAAUUCCAUCUAUGAAUAAUAAAAUUUCACUUCCAUGAACUUUCAACCUUUAACCCCCAAACUUCAUUCAAUCACAAACACAAUUUUCAACUCAGCUCAACACUUUUAAUAGUUAUACCAAAAAAAAAUUAUUCUCAUGCAAUAUUAAUUACAACCCACAUAUCUAUUAUGUAUAUGCCAUAUUUGUCCAAUUUUCAUUAUGUCAUGUUUUAAUAGUGAGAAAGGAAUGGCGAAUGAGUGUGUCUUGUUUAGUAAUAUUUUUAAGGGGCAAUGGCAUAAAUAUUCCAAAUCUUUGAGGAUUUUAAAUUUUAAUCCAAAGGUUUUUUCGUAUCGAAAAUUCGGCAGCGUCUCCUCUAUAUAUUGGUCCUAAUUCAAUCUGUGAAUGAUAAAAUUUCAAUUCAGUGAACUCUCAAUCUUAACUUUCCUAAACUUCCUUCAACCACAAACACAAUUUUCAACUCAAAUCAACACUCCAUAGAUACCAAGUGUCAACAAUGAGAAAGGAAUAAUGGAUUGAGUGACCACAUUAUUUAUUAAUAUAUUUUUGGAUAAUGGCAUAAAAAAUUUAAACCUCUAAAGAUUUUUUGCAUUUUAAUUAAAAAGAUUUUACUUGCUACAAUAACUUAGAAUUUAAAAACAUUUAGCGAUUCAAUUCAAAUCUGAAAUGUAAGUGGGAGAGCAUUUGCCGGUGGCUAAAGUAACGUUCCAUCUGUAUUUUUUUAUUACUUAACGGUGGAUCAUACGGUACACAUUGAAUAACCAAUGUGAGAAAUUAACUGCCAGUUAAUGGUAAAAAUCCAAGUUUGGUGUUUAACUAACAUGACUUAAAGUCAAAUUUGAAAAUUGUUGCCGGAACAAUUCAACUAUGCUUUUCCUAAGCGAAGCAACGCUAUAGUCUCCAACAUCUAGAGAGGUCAAAUCAUAGCAGUCUCACAACCUAGGAUCCUUAGUCAUCAGCACCACCGCCGGUGCAGUCUGUGCUAUGUGAGUGACCUUUCGCACCUAAAUUAUUGUCAACAUUGUCUUCAUAUCAAAUUUACCUAUGGACACCACCGUCGCUCCCAUAGUUAAAGCCCUCACGAAAUAACAUAAACCAUAAACAUGAAAAUAAGGCAAAAGGAAGUUGCAGCUGCCAUCCAGGUCGUGUAAACCUCAUGACUUACAGCCAUUAUACAUGUGAAAUUUCGAUGAGUCAAAACCACUCCAUCAACUCGACCAGUAGUCCGUGAGGAUAGAGAAUCAUCGCAGGGUCCAAUCGGUAAACCUUCCCUCGAGUAUGAUUGUUUUGAGAUUAGGAAUUAUACGAGCAGCAUUCGACGUUACGAACACAAUUACAGGUAUUGACAGCAGAAUUUGGUGGAGAAUCUCAUGUUUAAAGAUAAUUGAUUCUUAAGGAGACCUAACGACACCGAGAGAGAAGAUACAGAAAUAAAGAAUCGAAAGGUGAAUAGAGUUAGGAGAAAGAACAAAGGCAAUAUCUACUUUUCUGAAGCCAAAAUGGUGGUAAAGCGAGAAGUCUAAUUUUUUGUGCGAAGGACGAAGUCGGGAAAAUAAAUUCGACAGAGAGUGACGGCAUCGAAGAGAGCGUUUUAUGUUUUUCUACACCAAUUAAGAAUUUUAACUUAACUAACCAAGGAUUAAUAUCUCACCUUGGUUAUCCAAGGUGUAGCGUAGAGUCCACCUUCAAGUAAUAAAAAAAUACAAUAUCGCCUGCCACCGAUAGAUGCUCCCCCACUUUCAAUUCAAAUUUGGAAAGAAUCGCCAAAUAUUUUUAAAUCUUAAUUCAUUGUGCCAAGAAAUAAAAUUUUGGAUUUUUUAUGCCAUUAUGCUUUUUUCUUCAAGCAACAAUUUAAUUUAGUCGCUAGUGAAUGAGGAUUUGGGGUAGCUGCGACACUUCGUCUAUGUAAACCUUUAUUAGAAGUCACUUCAUAGCAAUUAGAAACUUGUCAUGAUACAACUGCAUCAGAUAUAAGGCAUCUACCAUAUCCUAGCAGAUUCUUAAAAGUGAUGCACACAAUUUCCACUCAAUGCUCUAAUGUCCAUAAUGUAAUCUGCAGCUUACAAUACACACAUUUGUAGCAUUGAAUAGAUUAUUGCGAUCACGACUUUAAACUAUCACCUCUAUCUUAUAACACAUGUUGAAUAUCAAAUUUGAAAACAUUUAGCGAUUGAAUUCAAAUUUGAAAUGUAAGUGGGGGAGCAUUUGCCGGUGGCUAACGUGACAUUCCUUCUGUAUUUUUUUAUUACUUAACGGUGGAUCAUACGCAACAUAUUGAAUAACCAAUGUGAGAAAUUAACCACCGGUUAAUGCUAAAAAUCCAGGUCUGGUGUUUAACUAACCUGACUUAAAGUCAAAUUUGGAAAUUGUUGCUGAAAUAGUCUAACUACGCUUUUCCUAAGCGAAGCAACUCUGCAGGCUACAACAUCUAGAGAGUUCAAAUCAUAGUCAUCUAACAACCUAGGAUGCUUAGUCAUCAGCACCACCGCCGGUGUAGUCUGUGCUACGUGAGUGACCUUACUCUCCUGAAUUACUGUCAACAUUGUCUUCAUAUCAAAUUUAACCAUGGACACCACCACCGCUCCUAUAGUUAAAGCUCUCAAGAAAUAACACAAACCAUAAACAUGAAAAUGAGGCAACGGAAAAAAGGAAGUUGCAGCUGCCAUCCGGGUCGUGUAAACCUCAUGACUUACAGCCACCAUGCAUGUGAAAUUUCGAUGAGUCAAAACCACUCCAUUAACUCAAUCAGUAGUCCGUGAGGAUAGAGAAUCAUCGCAGGGUCCAAUUUGUAAACCUUCCCUCCUUCCAUUUCUCCACAGUGAGCUAGACUUAUCAUCAGCGAUUCAAACUCGGGAGAGUCGAGUACGAUUGUUUUGAGAUUAGGAUUUAUAUGAGCAGCAUUCGACAUUACGAACACAAUUACAGGUUUUGACAGCUGAAUUUGGUGGAGAAUCUCAGGUUUAAAGAUAAUUGAUUUUUAAGGAGAGGUAACGACACCGAGAGAGAAGAUACAUAAAUAAAAGAUCGAAAGGUGAAUAAAGUUAGGAGAAAGAACGAAGGCAAUAUCUCCUUCUAUGAGGCCAAAAUGGUGGUGAAGCAAGAAGGCUAAUUUUUUGUGUGAAGGACGAAGUCGGAAAAUUAAAUUCGACAGCGAGUGACGGCGUCGAUGAGAGUGUUUUAGGUUUUUCUACACCAUUUAAGAAUUUUAACUUAACUAACCAAGGAUUAAUAUCUCACCUUGGUUAUCCAAGGUGUAGCAUAGAGUUCACCGUCAAGUAAUAAAAAAAUACAAUAUUACCUGCUACCGACAGAUGCUCCCUCACUUUCAUUUCAAAUUUUAAAAGAAUCGCCAAGUAUUUUUAAAUUCUAAUUUAUUGUGCCAGUAAAUAAAAUUAUGGAUUUUUUAUACCAUUAUCCUUUUUUUUAAGCAACAAUUUCAUUUAGUCUGCUAGUGAAUGACGAUUUGGAUAGCUGCGACACUUCGUCUAUGCCUUAUAACUUUAAAUGCCAACUUACGUUUUAUAUCUAGACUGUGACACUGUCUUUUAAGUGUUGUUUUAUAUAAUAAAUUGCACCUAUUGGCAAGCCAAUUACCGUUUCUUUGACAAGCUUUCCAAGUUAUUUAUUUUAGGUACUUCUGUAUGCUUCUAUCUUAAGUUAUAGUCAAGUUUUGGCAAUAUUAAGGGUCUAAUUCACUCACGGUCUCUUUACGAAAGUUGUUCUCCUAUAUCUUAGCUAAUUUAGUUAUUUCUUUUGUGGCUUUAUUUUUAUCUACAAUCUUAUAAAUAUAAUUAUUUGUAUAUUAAUUAUUUUAGUCAUAUUAAACUUAUUAAAUUUCCAAUAAGUAAUUUAUUCAACGUGAAAAUCUAUUAAUAUGCCUUGAAUUUACAUCACUACUGUUUGCUAAUUAAAGUCUUAACAAUUAUUAUUUUUGGACCGCACCCGAAAGUUGUCUACGUACCUCCAAUAGAGGAUCAGGUCCACGUAGCUCUUAACAAUAGAUAAUAACAUAAAGUUUAUACUAACAUAAUUAAUUCUUGCUAAUAAUCAACCACAUUAUCACAUUAUGCUAUUCAGAAAUAAUUUUAUUCAUUAAUCUAUUGGAGAAUAAGGGUUAUAUCUAGAAUCUAGUAAAUAACUAAGGAAACAUAAAUAAUUAUAUUUUCAUAGCUAUAUUUUGCACAAUAUUAUUAAGAAACUAAAUACCAAUAUUCAAACCAUAUAUAUAUAUAUAUAUAUAUACACACACAAAUUUAUAUAUAAACAUAUAUCAAUAUAACCCAUCAAUAAUAAUUACUUGUACCGAUUAAAGUGUUUAAAUUCUAACUAUAUCACCAAUAUAGAUAACAACUAAACUUUUAAUAAACAAUAAUAUUAUCUGAAAUAAUAUUAAUUCCGCCAAAAUAAUUUAUCUAAUUUAUCAAAGAUAAUAAUGCUUCUAACAUAGACCUUCAAUAUUAAUUCGGUUAUCCAACAUAGACCUUCAAUAUAAUCUUAAAGGCAACUCUAUCCACUUCCAAGUGAUGAAUCGAAAUAUUUAUCAAGAAAUACAUUAGGAAUCCAUACACUCUAUCUAUGUCAUGUUCUUAAAAGUUGGGUAGACUCUACAAUCUUCCUUAUUUUUCUCAUAGCUAGAGUAACUAAUAUCUCAUUAAUAAGAUAAACUAACAUCUUAAUCAUGCCUACCAUCUCAUAACUAUCUAAAGUAACCCCUUAAUCAUACCUACAUAACUAUCACUUAUUUUAUGUGUGUAUUCUUCUUGUAUCUUCAAUCCACUUUUACAUAAUGUUUAGAUAAUUAAUCUUUUUUUAAAACCCUUCAAUCUUGUAUAAUGAUAAUUAAAAUUUAUUUCCUUCGAAGGUUACGACUGUAUUUCGAUAUCAAACAAUCAUUACAGUAAAAAGUGAAAAAGAAGAUUGGUCACUAACAUGUUCUAGCCUAUUUCACCUACUCAUGGCUCUCCUUUUUUUCAUUUAUCUUAUAUCAUAAUAUUUAUAAAAUUUCUCUUUUUAAUUAUAAACAAAACAAAAAACAAUUAUGUUUUUCGAGUACAUUAUCGCUGUCAUAGAAUUUUUCUAUACCUUAUUACUGAUGUCUCUAGUAUUUUAUUUUAAAAGGAUAUAAACUUUUAUUAGAAGUCACUUCAUAGCAAUUCGAAACUUGUCAUGAUACAACUGCAUCAAAUAUACGGCAUCUACCAUAUCCUAGCAGAUUCUUAAAAGUGAUGCACAUAAUUUCCACUCAAUGCUCCAAUGUCCAUAAUGUAAUCUGCAGCUUACAAUACACACAUUUGCAGCAUUGAAUAGAUUAUCGCGAUCACGACUUUUGACUAUCACCUCUAUCUUCUAACACAUGUUGAAUGUCAAAUAACAUUCUUAACCAACUUACAAAAACCUAUAGUAGAGUUAUAUCCUGACCUUAACUUAUAAGGUAUAAACAUUUGCUUAUACUUGUUCCUUCUCCUUAAUACCUAGAACGGCCUAAACGUUAGCUCUAAUACCACUAACUGCAACACUCCUAUAAGGUUAUUUAACUAACCGAAAUGGAGAUAUCACGUUCCGUGGUGCUUCUCUUAUUUUUUCAAUUAACUAUUAUCAUGUAUUAACGACACCGAGAGAGAAGAUACAAAAAUAAAGAAUCAAAAGGUGAAUAGAGUUAGGAGAAAGAACAAAG
This 8397-nucleotide long non-coding RNA is filed under the name Manihot esculenta (cassava). RNAcentral describes it as "long non-coding RNA (MESC_LNC003371)". Lineage: Eukaryota; Viridiplantae; Streptophyta; Magnoliopsida; Malpighiales; Euphorbiaceae. The record is from RNAcentral.